RNAcentral lists this ribosomal RNA (268 nucleotides) under uncultured bacterium. RNAcentral's name for it is "partial 16S ribosomal RNA". It matches the Rfam family "Bacterial small subunit ribosomal RNA", at positions 1 to 299 of the family's 1533-position model. The record is from RNAcentral.
UAGUGAGUUUGAUCCUGGCUCAGGAUGAACGCUGGCGGUCUGCUUAACACAUGCAAGUCGAACGCAAGUAGAAACUACUUGAGUGGCGGACGGGUGAGUAACGCGUGAGAAUCUGCCUUCUGGGUCGGGGACAACCACUGGAAACGGUGGCUAAUACCGGAUAUGCCUAUGGGUGAAAGAUUAAUUGCCAGAAGAAGAGCUCGCGUCUGAUUAGCUAGUUGGAGAGGUAAGGCUCACCAAGGCAUCGAUCAGUAGCUGGUCUGAGAGG